CUAUAAUGCAUGUACCGAUGUUUAUAGUGGAUAUUGUUCAGACUCUAAAAUAUGCAACUCGUUAGGAGGGCAAGUGGAGACACUGUCAGUAAGAUGUCAAUGUGGUAAAGCAUGUUGCAAAUGUACUGACACAUGUCCUGUUGGUUCUACAUGUAUGAGUGAAGGUGAAACCUGUGAUGGAGUGAAAGAUACAAACGGUUGUUGUGGCAACAGGUUUUGUUGUACUCCUACUGCAACAACGACACCAGAGACAACUACACCAUGUGGUGUAACCAAUUGUCCAGGUGAAUGUUGUCCGGUCAGUUGUCAGCAAGGUAAUGAACAGGAAGAAUAUUGCUGUGAACAAGCUGGAUUUGUAUGCUG
Long non-coding RNA from Mytilus californianus (California mussel), 363 nucleotides. RefSeq lists it as uncharacterized. The record is from RefSeq and is a predicted model, not a curated record. The transcript is spliced from 3 exons. NCBI's taxonomy places the organism in Eukaryota, Metazoa, Mollusca, Bivalvia, Mytilida, Mytilidae.